This 468-nucleotide ribosomal RNA is filed under the name uncultured bacterium. RNAcentral describes it as "partial 16S ribosomal RNA". It matches the Rfam family "Bacterial small subunit ribosomal RNA", at positions 28 to 507 of the family's 1533-position model. The record is from RNAcentral.
GACGAACGCUGGCGGCGUGCUUAACACAUGCAAGUCGAACGGAAAGGCCCUGCUUUUGUGGGGUGCUCGAGUGGCGAACGGGUGAGUAACACGUGAGUAACCUGCCCUUGACUUUGGGAUAACUUCAGGAAACUGGGGCUAAUACCGGAUAGGAGCUCCUGCUGCAUGGUGGGGGUUGGAAAGUUUCGGCGGUUGGGGAUGGACUCGCGGCUUAUCAGCUUGUUGGUGGGGUAGUGGCUUACCAAGGCUUUGACGGGUAGCCGGCCUGAGAGGGUGACCGGCCACAUUGGGACUGAGAUACGGCCCAGACUCCUACGGGAGGCAGCAGUGGAGAAUAUGGCACAAUGGGCGGGAGCCUGAUGCAGCAACGCCGCGUGCGGGAUGACGGCCUUCGGGUUGUAAACCGCUUUCGCCUGUGACGAAGCGUGAGUGACGGUAAUGGGUAAAGAAGCACCGGCUAACUACGUG